GGCCAGCGGCGUGGCUCGCGACGCGGCGAGCGGGACGGCGGCGCGUCUCGUGGGUGGGGAGCGGCAACAGAUCUGCGCGCGAGCAAGACGGCGGCACGGCUGCGUGGCCCUCGUCGCCCCUGAUCCUCGCCGCGCACGUUGGCCCCUGCUCCGGAUUGCCAGACGCGGUGCCUGGCCCUCGUUGCCCACCCUCGUCCCCGGCGCUGAGCCGCCGCUCUGUCCUGGCCGCCGUCCGCGCCGUCCUAGCCGUGCCGCCGCUCCGACCGUGGCGGAUCCGCGCCGGCCCGGACGCCAAUCCGCGUCCCCGGCUCCGCGCCGUUCGCGCCGUCCCGGAGGAUCCGCGACGCCCGGCCGCCGGUCCACGCCCAGCCGCCGCUCCGUCAACGACUCCGCGCCGUCCUCGCCCCCCGGCUGCCGCGAGGAUGCGUCUCGGGGUGCUCGUCGUCACGCCGGCGACGUUCCGCAACCCCUACAACUUCGAGGACGUCCGGGCCUUCCUGGACUGCGGCGCGGCAUCCGAGCGGCGCCUGCACGCUCGGCCCCCGCGCCCCGUCUCCCGCGCCCGCCGACGUGCGCCGUGCCUCUCCGCCGCACUCCAAAAGUGGUCCUCCCCCGCCGCCGCCACCAACGCCGAGGCAGCUGGCACCUUCCCGCACUGCUGAAUCCUGUCCCGCCCCCACGAAAAUAGCUGCGAAAUUCCGGUGAUUAGUAUUUUCGUUUGCUGCUUUCCAUGUUUUUCCGAACAAAUUGAUUUCCAUGUUUUCUCCCACACACGUUCCAGGCAAGGCCGGCGAGGAUUGUUGAUCCUCCACGAUCUGCAAUUUGGCCGCCGGCAAGGCACGUCGUCUGAACGGCAAUUUUAUUAGCCUGCCCAAGAGUGUGACCAAGGCCAGCAGCCGCCACCGCUGAUGCAGCUUAUGAGAGAGUGGCGUUAGCGGUGCCCGGCGCCUUAGCUCUGGCUCCACCUUUACCCGUCCAUGCAAACGAGGCAGUGUCUCAAUCUACAAGGGACCAUCUAGCGGCUUCCACUUUCUAUCAUCUCUUUUGCCUUUUCUAUUCGAUUUGAAUUGGCAAGUAGCUUUUGGUGUACCUUCCGGUGCGUGGUUAUGAAACAGCCAUUAUCUUGAUAUCGUGUCUAGCUAUGUUGUUAUUAUAUUUUGACUAGCUGUUUAUUUGAUCAAAUAAUGAACCCUAAUGUCCAAUUUACAAUCUUCCAUUCUUGCUGUAUUGAUUCAGUUAGUUCCAGAAUGCCUGCAGCCUGCUGAUGCAGUCAUUUAUGUUUUUUUUUAAAAAAAAUUUGCCUAACCUGAAUAGCACUGCAGCAAUCUACAACUGACCAUUGCCAUGACAUAUUAUGACACACACAUCACUGGCCUACAAGUGUAUCUUGUAUAUGAUUUCGGCUGAAGUUCAAUUCUUGCUCAUUAUCUGUUCAGGUAUCUUCUCCAUUGAUGUGUUCCACUGUUUUGGACCUCCAAGACUGGUAACGACAAUAAUGAAUCUUGUCCACCAAACCUCACCAUAGAGGAUUCUAGGCUAGCAGUUGAUUUUGAGGUGUUACCAUCUGAUCUGAGGCUCGUGUAAAUUGUUUGUGUACUGAUGGAUCGGCCGAGUCCACUUAGUGAUGUGUCAAACAUUGUUAGUUGACGGGGUUAUAAGAUGUUAAGACAAGAAUCAGAAGGAUAUGAUGAUCAUGGUGUCCAAGCCAUUGAAAAUAUUGAUCAUGCAGAACAUUUGCAGCAAAAGAGAAAGGAGAAAUAUGCCAGUUUGACUGAGAAGGAGAAGGAAAGAAAUGUGCAAAGGCAAAGGAAAAUUAUCAUUGGAGAAGGUUGGGGCAACACAUUGAACAUAACUCACAAUGUGUCUGUGCAGAGGCAGGCAGCCCAUUGGAAUUGAUUCCAUUAUCUUAAUGACGAUAGUGGUGAGGAUUGGCUCCAGAGGAACAAGUCUUAUACAAGACCAAGAAGAGAUGUGAGAGAACCGGGUCCCAUCACUAAUCGAUGAAACUCCCUAGCUGUGUGUAGGUUUUUGAUGCUGGAUUUUUUUUUUAAUUUUCAGUCUCAGUGUGGGUCAGCUUAUUUCAAUUACAUAUAUCUGUCAUCAUUUCCCAUGCUCUUCUCAAGCAUUAUAGUCCAAUAAUGGUUCUUCCUGAUAUCUUCUUGUUUGGUAAUUUUAUGAAACAUAUAUAAUAGUUUUACUAGACUGAUAUAUAAGGCACGUCAUAAUUUUUUUGCUUUGGCUGUUUUGUUAAGUGUGCACGUUCUAAUGACGGUAAUUGACUGGUGGAGAGGAAAACAAAGAGGUGGAGAGUCUACUCAGGGAUUUAGGGAUGGAAAGCACAGGGAGAAAGGAGUGAGGGAGGGUCUGGUGCUCUCUGCUAUAGCACUAUGCAGAUCUUCAUAAGAGCUAUUCAUUUAUUUUUCGAGUCUUGGCAUUUUUUUUGGUGAUAUUGCAAAAUACCAGUGAAAUAUUUGUAUAGGCAGUUAUCACUGUUUUAGUAACUGAAAUUUGUUCUCCUGUAGAUACAUAUAUGUAAAUAUACACCAGCAAUUAAUUGUCAAUUUCAUAACUUAUUUUAUGAUCAAGAUGUUUAAUUUUAUCCA
Long non-coding RNA from Panicum virgatum (switchgrass), 2603 nucleotides. RefSeq lists it as uncharacterized. Lineage: Eukaryota; Viridiplantae; Streptophyta; Magnoliopsida; Poales; Poaceae. The record is from RefSeq and is a predicted model, not a curated record. The transcript has 4 exons.